AUCACGGUCGGGCGCCGUGCAGCAGCAGCACCAUGCGCCUGGGACGGCUCCACCAGGCGCUCAGCUCGGGCAGUGGCGCCUCCCCCACCUCAUCAGCUGUUUCCGUGUCUGCUGCAAUGCGUCUGUGAAGCUCUGACAUUGUGUUCCAGUGAGGGACAGGAUUCGGGUUCACGAGUAGAAGAGCGUGCCGAGGAAUGUCCACCAGUCAGCACAGCCAUGAACCUCAGAGCAACAUGUCCAAGACUCAAGUACAGGCAAUAUAGCCAGCCUGCCCGUGAGGCACUGAGGGAGAUGAAGAAGGUUGGAGGUCUGGAAAAUGGUGGAAUGCCUUGGACUGGAGGGCAGCCACCCUGCGUCCCCCGGUGCUGGAGGACAGGUGCCCUGGUGGUGCUGGAGGAUGGGCGUCCAGCGUCAUGGCCUGGCACACCCCUUCCUCUGUGACGUGAGGCUUCUCUUUCCUGCGAUCAUCACUGUCCUGAGGAGGACCGAGAAGGACCCUGUGACCACCCUUCCAGGUGUGCCUGCUUCUGUGUCUGGACCUCCUGUCUCUGAAUCUGGUAUCUUCAGAGCCGAGAGGCUGCAGCAGGCCCAACCUGCUUGGACCAAAGUGCAGGUAUUGUUUGUGCUAAUCAGUCAACCCUCCCCCCCCC
This 650-nucleotide long non-coding RNA is filed under the name Capra hircus (goat). Its description in RNAcentral is "lncRNA (ENSCHIG00000005934.1)". Lineage: Eukaryota; Metazoa; Chordata; Mammalia; Artiodactyla; Bovidae. The record is from RNAcentral.